This 253-nucleotide ribosomal RNA is filed under the name uncultured bacterium. RNAcentral describes it as "partial 16S ribosomal RNA". It matches the Rfam family "Bacterial small subunit ribosomal RNA", at positions 524 to 776 of the family's 1533-position model. The record is from RNAcentral.
UACGUAGGGUGCGAGCGUUGUCCGGAAUUAUUGGGCGUAAAGAGCUUGUAGGCGGUCUGUCGCGUCUGCUGUGAAAAUCCGGGGCUCAACCCCGGACUUGCAGUGGGUACGGGCAGACCAGAGUGUGGUAGGGGAGACUGGAAUUCCUGGUGUAGCGGUGAAAUGCGCAGAUAUCAGGAGGAACACCGAUGGCGAAGGCGGGUCUCUGGGCCACUACUGACGCUGAGAAGCGAAAGCAUGGGGAGCGAACAGG